Molecule: long non-coding RNA, 593 nt
Organism: Gossypium arboreum
Lineage: Eukaryota; Viridiplantae; Streptophyta; Magnoliopsida; Malvales; Malvaceae
Exons: 2
Source: RefSeq, a predicted model, not a curated record
UCAUAUUUUUUAAAGCUUUCAAAACCACUUUUCUAAGCAAAAAAAAAAACUCCGAAAUUCCUUUCUUUUACUCCCCAAAAAUCCCCCUUUUUAGCUAGGAUUUCACAAACCCAUCAUCGCCGUCGUUCACCAUGCCGAACGGAGAGGAGGACUCCGACGACGAGCCACAAGGUGGAUCCGGCAUAGAGUGGUGGAGGCAAGUGGGUGUGCUGGUGGCAGACAACUGGUAGUGGCGGGCCAAGGUGGGGCGGCGGCUAGGGUUCUUCUCCUCCCUUUUUUGCUGAAAAUUGUUUAGGUUUAGGCUGGGCUUAGGGUUUUAGUCUGUUGGGCUAAAUUGGGUUUGGUUAGGGUUGGUUUAAGUUGGGCCAAAAUUGGGCCUCAACAAUAUGUAUAUAUUAUGUUUUUAUGAUGAUGCAUGCCAAAGUUAUGUCCACAUUCAUGGCUUCGCAAUUAAUGUUAAGAAUCACACAUCUCUCUGUUACUUAGUUAUUUCCAAACUUUUAAAUAUUGUAUUUGGUUAGUCUUAGAUUAAUCUCACAUUUUAAGAAUUAAUUUUUUGAGUUUAAUUUCGAUUCCGGGGUUUUUGUAUGGAA